CCUCUGUACUUCUAUGUGCAAGGAGGCUGCCAUGGACGCCUGAGGUCCUCCGCUCCGACCCACACCCCGGCGGCCUUGCCGACGUCGUCGCCGAGGUGAGCCGCAACCUCGAUGGAGGUCCGCCUUCCGGAUCCGAGCCGCAGACACCCACCCGCUGUUUUCGUCUGCUUCCGCUCCUGCUCCGUCGUUCUCACGCGACCAUCUUGACUCCCUCCCGCACGCACGAGCAGCAGGAAGAUGCAGUUCUUCGUCAAGACCUCACAGCUGUGGAUACUGUGGCUACACAUUGAACUUGAGCUCCUCAACACGGAACACGGCCAACAUUGGAUCCAAGUAUGGGAAGCAGAUCAGGAAAGGCGCCGUCUCAUUCUUUGUGAUUUUUUGGAUUGUGUGCCUUGAAAAGCAUGGUUACAACCAUUCCUAAUUUUUUGUUCUUGUUCGAUUUGGAUUUGGAUGCAGCAGGUGCUCUGCUCUUGCGCACGUUUGGUGGCGUCUCCGGCACAGCCGUGCUUCUUGAGGCGACCGGCGUGAUGGCGGGUGUGUAUGGCGGCGACCACAAGCUCUCCGGGAGCUCCGCAUCUAAGUCUCGGCCAUCCUCCACAGCAAGGAGCUGGGCCAAGGGAGCUAGCAGCGCUACUGGUUUCUUGAGGCCGGAUCGUGUAAGAUGGUGCACCACGGCAUGCGGCGGCCUAUUCUGUCGUAGUGGUAUUGUGUAUAGUCUCAUCCAACACUGAGUAUCAAUAUGUUGUUUUAAUCCUGAUGAUGUUGUAGCAUAAAGUGGUUACUUGUCUGAUGCACAUUGUUCUUUGUAGGGUUAUGAUGAUAUUUCCAAGGAAAUAUACUGACCCUGAUGUGGCUAAGGUGACGCCCAGCCCCCAGGGAGCUCCGCAUCCAAGUCUAGUGUAGGGUAUUUCUGUUUUAAUUUUCUUUGUCAUAGAAUAGUUUUGUUUGGCACUUACUGUUCCAGGGAUGUAAAGAUAUGUAUUGCUGGAAUGAAUGGUUGUAAUAUAAUAACAUGGCACGUUGCUUUGAAAAUGUAUCAUAACUGGGCUAGGCCCAAGAUAGCUUGUGGUGUGAUGAGUUGUAAUGUCUAUGGCAUAGUAAUUUUUUUUGGAUUGGAUUAAUUUUUUCGGAACUGGGCUAGGCCCAAGUUAUAUUGGACAAUUAUUUUUGAGGGAAAAACAUGAGAGGCCCAGCAAAGAAAUGGCCCAGAAAAAUACAUGAUCAAAAAGAAAAUCUGCUGUUAAAAGGGCCACGCAAAGAAAUCAAUAGGGCUGAAUUGUUGGGUCAGACCCAUGUAGCUAAUAAAAGCACAGGAAAAAAAUACAUUAAAAAGGCCGAAUUGU
This is a long non-coding RNA of Aegilops tauschii subsp. strangulata, 1346 nucleotides long. RefSeq lists it as uncharacterized. Lineage: Eukaryota; Viridiplantae; Streptophyta; Magnoliopsida; Poales; Poaceae. The record is from RefSeq and is a predicted model, not a curated record.